RNAcentral lists this ribosomal RNA (492 nucleotides) under uncultured bacterium. Its description in RNAcentral is "partial 16S ribosomal RNA". It matches the Rfam family "Bacterial small subunit ribosomal RNA", at positions 29 to 507 of the family's 1533-position model. The record is from RNAcentral.
AGUGAACGCUGGCGGUAGGCCUAACACAUGCAAGUCGAACGGCAGCACAGUAAGAGCUUGCUCUUACGGGUGGCGAGUGGCGGACGGGUGAGGAAUACAUCGGAAUCUACUUUUUCGUGGGGGAUAACGUAGGGAAACUUACGCUAAUACCGCAUACGACCUACGGGUGAAAGCAGGGGAUCUUCGGACCUUGCGCGAUUGAAUGAGCCGAUGUCGGAUUAGCUAGUUGGCGGGGUAAAGGCCCACCAAGGCGACGAUCCGUAGCUGGUCUGAGAGGAUGAUCAGCCACACGGGAAGUGAGACACGGCCCAGACUCCUACGGGAGGCAGCAGUGGGGAAUAUUGGACAAGGGGGGAAAGCCUGAUCCAGCCAUACCGCGUGAGCGAAGAAGGCCUUCGGGUUGUAAAGCCCUUUUGUUGGGAAAGAAAAGCAGCAGGUUAAUACCCCGCGGUUCUGACGGUACCCAAAGAAUAAGCACCGGCUAACUUCGUG